RNAcentral lists this ribosomal RNA (1054 nucleotides) under uncultured bacterium. RNAcentral describes it as "bacterial SSU rRNA". It matches the Rfam family "Bacterial small subunit ribosomal RNA", at positions 219 to 1281 of the family's 1533-position model. The record is from RNAcentral.
UUAGGGAGGAGCUUGCGUCACAUUAGUUAGUUGGUGGGGUAAAGGCCUAACAAGACUAUGAUGUGUAGCCGGGCUGAGAGGUUGAACGGCCACAUUGGGACUGAGACACGGCCCAAACUCCUACGGGAGGCAGCAGUAGGGAAUUUUCGGCAAUGGAGGAAACUCUGACCGAGCAACGCCGCGUGAACGAUGAAGUAUUUCGGUACGUAAAGCUCUUUUAUUAGGGAAGAAUAAAUGAUGGAAAAACCAUUCUGACGGUACCUAAUGAAUAAGCCCCGGCUAACUAUGUGCCAGCAGCCGCGGUAAUACAUAGGGGGCAAGCGUUAUCCGGAAUUAUUGGGCGUAAAGGGUGCGUAGGCGGUUAAAUAAGUUUAUGGUCUAAGUGCAAUGCUCAACAUUGUGAUGCUAUAAAAACUGUUUAGCUAGAGUAAGAUAGAGGCAAGUGGAAUUCCAUGUGUAGUGGUAAAAUGCGUAAAUAUAUGGAGGAACACCAGUAGCGAAGGCGGUUUGCUGGGUCUUUACUGACGCUGAGGCACGAAAGCGUGGGGAGCAAACAGGAUUAGAUACCCUGGUAGUCCACGCCGUAAACGAUGAGUACUAAACGUUGGGUAAAACCAGUGUUGAAGUUAACACAUUAAGUACUCCGCCUGAGUAGUACGUACGCAAGUAUGAAACUUAAAGGAAUUGACGGGACUCCGCACAAGCGGUGGAUCAUGUUGUUUAAUUCGAAGGUACCCGAAAAACCUCACCAGGUCUUGACAUGCUUCUGCAAAGCUGUAGAAACACAGUGGAGGUUAUCAGUUGCACAGGUGGUGCAUGGUUGUCGUCAGCUCGUGUCGUGAGAUGUUGGGUUAAGUCCCGCAACGAGCGCAACCCUUAUUGUUAGUUACCAGCACGUAAUGGUGGGGACUUUAGCAAGACUGCCAGUGAUAAAUUGGAGGAAGGUGGGGACGACGUCAAAUCAUCAUGCCCCUUAUGACCUGGGCUACAAACGUGAUACAAUGGCUGUUACAAAGGGUAGCUGAAGCGCAAGUUUUUGGCGAAUCUCAAAAAA